This 3723-nucleotide long non-coding RNA is filed under the name Mus musculus (house mouse). RNAcentral describes it as "predicted gene 15759". Lineage: Eukaryota; Metazoa; Chordata; Mammalia; Rodentia; Muridae. The record is from RNAcentral.
CUUCAUCAAAGGAAGCCAGGUUAGGAGCUCAAGCAUGUGGGAACCUGGAGGCAGGAGCUGAUGCAGAGGCCAUGGAGUGGGGAGCUGCUUACUGACUUGCUGCUCCUAAUGACCUGCUUAGCCUGCUUCUUAUAGAACCCAGGACCACCAUCCCACAAUGGGCUGGGCCCUCCCCUAUCAACCAUUAAUUAAGAAAAUGCCUUACAGGCUUGCCUACGGCCUGAUCUUAUGGGGAGGCAGUUCUUAAUUGAGGUUCUCUCCUCUCAGAUGACUGUAGCUUGUGCCAACUUGACAUAAAACUCUCCAGCACACACUUUGACCUCCAUAAGUCGUGGCGGCAAACACAGAAGUAUGUUUAUUGCUGCAAUGUGUGUCAAAAGACUUGCGGCCUUCUGAUGCGAUGAACUCCAUCGAGUGAGCACGGAUUUAUGGUGAUGCCAAUUUGAAUCUGACAGGAUACCAGCACAUUAACCGCUCCUGGUGAUUCUUAGAGGAAAAACAUGUGAACGACCAACCCAAGUAAUGAACAAGCCAAGCUUCUAUUUACCUGUCAAGAAAUGAGGACAACCAUGAUACAGCCACUACAGCGCAUACAUAUUUUGGGACAUUGCUCAUUUAAUUCAUAUGGAACCUUUACGGAAGGGGAAUGCAGCUGGAAGAGGCGUCUACAGGAGGAGACUGAAAGCCUGAGAGGUGAAUGGGAGCUGACCUCUGAGAACUGAGAAUGCAGGAGGCCAUGGAGGAGGGUUUUUCCUGAUGAUGGGCCGAAGACGGUCCAUAAGAAUCUGGCAGGCAUUCUGAAAAGCAAAUGUUUAGACGGACAUCAGAGCUACAAAGCGCAAAACAGCAAAGCAUUAAUGAUCCAGGAAGACUUUAAUGGCAGCUGUUUUACAGGUGUGGAAAUGGACUUAACACAACUGGAACCUGCAAGAGUCAAUUCCCGGGCACACCUUCUCCUGGAUACUGGAGGACUGGCAAGGAUCUGGAGAUGUUUUUGGUCUCCAAAGGUUGUCUUCGAGAAUGGUGGUGGGGGAGGAGGGUAUGCCCCAGUGUGGGUAAUCCUGCACAGCCACAGGCUGCCAGUGGAGCCUAGAUACCCAGCUUUAACACAAUCCCACACAAUGUUGAUGGUGACGAGGUUUGGGAUCCAUUAAUUGAAUCUACAUUCAUCAGGUUGUACAUUAGUGACUAGAAGCCUAGAGAUGGGAAACAGUUGGUCACACCCAGAUGCCUAGCAUCAUGGGGGUGGGAAAGGAAAAGAUAAUGCCGGAGAUUGAACUCUGUGAAGAAGCAGUUAUGGUGAAAUGAGAGGGGAGGCAAGAAAGGGAUCUUUUUGUUUAUGCCAGUUCGCUUUUGAAACCUGGCCUGACACUGUUGAGGUUUGUUUUUUUGCUAUGUAUUAUAAUGCUAAAUACCAGCCCUGGUCACUCCCAGGGAUGGGGAGGUUCUCACAUGGACUUAAGUGAUGCUAGGUAAUCUUGCCCCCACCCCCCCAAGUUAUCCCUGAAUGGUGAAUAAAAAUGCCUUUCGCCUGUAGCUGGGCAGAAGAGAGAUAGGUGGAGUUUUGGCUCCUUGGCUGGGGGUCUGAGGCAGGGGCCAUGAGGAGACAGAGAAGGUAGAGAGAGAAGAUGAUACCAUGGGGUAGGUGAGUCAUGAAAACAUGGCCAUGAAGGCUGCCCAAUUGGAGUGAUAGCGGGGUUAUUGAUGAGGAAGUGGAUUUCAAUAUCUGCUGAGUUCUAGUGCUUUAAAGGCUUAUCAUAUAUAAAAAGGUCUUCUUUCUUUCAUCUGGGGUGGAAAACCCCAAUGGAGAUUAAGUAUUUUCUGCACCAUGACAUUCCAGUACUUAUAUUAGGGUGCAGCUACUCAAAUGGGUCCCUCUGAGUAGGACCUUACUGUUGAUGCUCUCCAAGACCCUAAAUUCUGCAUCCCGAAGGUCUGUUCCGAUAUCCAUGGUUUCUGCCUUUGUCUGCGUCCGUGCUCUCUCCUGCUAGAGGGAACCAGCCGCCCUUCAUUUCUCUGUCUCUAAAGAGGGACGUCAUGGCUGCCCAGAUUCCCUUCCUUGUGCAUAAGCCGUUUUUGAGCGAGAGCCAGCCCUUUGGAGAUGGGCUUUGAUAAGGGUCCAUCUCUUCCACCUCACCUGAUUGUAGAAGGCUAUGGGGACCGCAACGCUGAACUUCAUGGGGACGACAGCAAGCCCCCUCUUCUUCCAAUAGUUGUUUCCGUUAAAUUCCUCUGCAGCCUUCUUCCUAGCAAAGAAUGACGACUUCUCCAGACACUCCUUCCAGCAUCUCCGCAAGGGCUCUGGAUUAAACGUCUGCUUAUAGGCUGUCUUGCUAGUUUUCUUAUACAUGUUUAUUUCUCUAACCUGAAAGGUGAGAACAUGUGUGCAUCACAUGUCUGAUAUGGAAAAAGUUUGUCUAAAAAUACUUUUAGUAUACUAAAGUAUAUAUAUAUAUAUGUAUAUAUAUAUAUAUAUAUAUGUUAAAAUGACUAUAUAUAUGUAUAUAUAUGUUUAAAAUGACAACAGAAACCAAUAGAAACUACUAACGAGUACUUCAUAUGCCCCAGGCUUUAGAUAAAGUAUUUCAGUGAGCUUCACAAUAACCCUAAGAAACAGUAGGACAAUUACUCAUCCUGUUAUCAAUUUGUUGGCAAGAGAAGAUUUUCCUGAUUCAAAUUAUUUUGUUUUGUUUUUGCUUUUUUUUCGAGACAGGGUUUCUCUGUAUAGUUCUGGCUGUCCUGGAACUCACUUUGUAGUCCAGGCUGGCCUUGAUCUCAGAAAUCCUCCUGCCUCUGCCUCCCGAGUGCUGGGAUUAAAGGUGUUUGCCACCACACCCAGCUCCUGAUUCAAAUUCUUAAUUACUCCCAAUUUCCCUCACUUUACCCCUUGAGAGUAUUGCACAUGCCAAGCAAACCCUUGUCUAUCAAGUGACAAGAUGUUUGCACAAAAGGCUGUGAUCAUCCCACCCAUUUCUGCCCUGGUAUAGUUUCACACUGACUCUGGAUUGACCUUGUGACCUGCUUUUUAUGAUGGGACUGUACAUAGUAACACAGACAGAGACUUGACAAAUGUUUGUGGAUUACAGCAUGCCACCAACCUGCUGCUCUCCGGAAUUCUCUGAUACCCAUGAGAGUGAAUCUGGGCUAGCUUACUGAAAGAUGAACGACUAUACAACAGACUUUACAGCUGAGGCAUAGUCAGAUAAGCCAGCCCAAUACUCAUCAGAAAUGUCAAUAAAGAGAAAUGUUAAUAAAGCCGUCUUGAACCAUAGAGCUUCCAAUGAGCUGGCCUAAGACCAGGAGAAGCUCCCAAGAAACCCACAGAAUCCUAAGAAAUAGUAUCACGGGUAGAAGCUAUCAGGUUUAUUGGUUCCCAUACUACAAUAGAAAAUAUUUACUGAUAAUGCAUUUUAUUUUCUUGAAACUGUAUAUAUAGAGAGAGAUUGCAGGAGCUCGAGACACACACCAACCAUGGCCAGUGCUUUCCUAGCUGGUUCUAACUGCUCACCUCUUCAGGGAGUAAGUUACAUUUAGAUGCUACCGCAGCGAUGUAUGCUUCGACGACCACCGUAGCCUGAGGGAAGCCAAAUCCUCGGAAAGCCGUGUUAGAUGGUAAGUUUGUUUUGCAAGCCCUGCCCCGGCACCGGAAAUUCGGAAUAUGAUAUGUAUUUUCAGAUUUCAGCACGACAAAUUCUAUCACCUGAAUUAAAACAAAAAUAACUC